ACAUCAAUCUUUACACCCCUGGGCUCUGGCCCUCUUCGUAUAUGACCCGAGGCCCGAUAUAAACAACCCAAGUACCCAACAGAGUCCUAAUACCGUCACUCAUCGCGCACGGCGCACCCCUCUCGCUCUCUCCGGUGUCCACCUCACCUGCGGCUACUCAAUCUACGACUCCGUAAAUAUUUUGGGUAGCGGUGUAGCAGAAGAAAGAAGCUAACAAUGAGAGGAGAAAAUGGAAGAAAAAUGUUGGAGAAGAUGAUGGAUGUAAAAGAAGCCAAAAAGCAGAUAUUAUUCUCAUUGCCAAUGAUACUCACUAAUGUGUUUUACAGUCUAAUUCCGGUGGUUUCAGUUAUGUUUGCCGGUCAUCUCGGUCAGCUACAAUUGGCUGGCUCUACUCUUGCCAAUUCUUGGGCUACUGUCACUGGUUUUUCUUUCAUGCUCGGCUUAAGUGGUGCACUCGAGACAUUAUGUGGACAAGGAUUUGGUGCAAACUUGUACAAAAUCCUAGGGAUUUACCUCCAAGCAUCAUGUAUAAUCUCACUCCUUUUCUCCAUAAUCAUAUCCGUACUAUGGUGGUUUACGGAACCCAUCUUAAACUUACUCCAUCAAACUCCUGAUAUUUCCAAAGAAGCAGCACUCUACAUGAGAUUUCUAAUACCAGGAAUAUUCGCGUAUGGCAUCUUACAGAACAUCUUAAGGUUCCUACAGACACAAUCUGUUGUUUUUCCUUUAGUUGUGUUGUCUUUUGUUCCGUUGCUUUUGCAUUGUGGCCUUAGCUAUUUGCUGGUUCAUUUCACAACCCUUGGUUAUAAGGGAGCAGCAUUGGCUACCUCUAUAACGUUUUGGUUUUCAGUUAUGAUUUUGAUUAUAUAUGUGAAUUACGCUAAGAAAUUCGAGCAUACUUGGAAAGGGUUAUCGAAGGAAGCGUUUUGUCAUGUCUUUGCCAACUUGAAAUUGGCAUUACCUUCUGCUGCUAUGGUUUGUCUUGAGUACUCUGCGUUUGAAAUCUUGGUGUUGUUGGCUGGCCUCAUGCCGAAUCCUGAAACAACUACUUCUCUCAUUGCAAUCUGGUCUUAUCGUGCUUUUACCAAUAAAAAUCGGUCCCAGGCGCGGCCCACGACUUCGUGUCGGGCUUGGGGCCGACACACCAAGUCCAUUUGUAUCAUGUUGGCCUGUCCGGUGUGCCUAAGCCUAAUUUUAUUGUGCUUUAUCGUGUCGGGUCUUAUCGUGCUUCUCCCAAAAAAUGCAGCCCCAGGCUCGGCCCACGACUUUGUGCCCGUGUCGGCUCGUGCCUUGUUCUUGUCAGAUCGGGCCUCUGGUCGGGCCGGCACACAACCUUCUUUACGUAUGGCAAGAUUUUUUUUGUUAAAUUUGAUUAAUAUAUUAAUUUGACAUCUUCCUCUUACCAGUGUUAAUACAGAAUCAAUUGCUUACAUGUGUACUUACGGGUUGAGUGCUGCAGCAAGGUUUCUUUCUUCUUCAUUUCCUCAACUUUUUCUUUGGGGCUUCUAAUGUUAUUUGAUUACAGUUAUUACUAUUAAGAGUUAACUUUUCCAUGAUAUAGUACAAGAGUUUCAAAUGAGCUUGGAGCUGGGAAACCGAACCAAGCAAAACUAGAGCUGGCAAAAAUUGACCCAACCCACCAACCCAACCCGAACCCAACCCAAUAAUAAAGGGUUGGGUCAAGAUUUUCAACCCGUUUAAUUAAAUGGGUCAACCCAACCCAACCCGUUUAAUUAAAUGGGUUGGGUUAGGUUGAAAUGUUCAACCCGAAAACAACCCGCCUAACCCGUUUAAGUUCAAGCAAGUAUGUAAUAUAAAUCUGUAGAAUUUUAUUUAAAAUAUUUUAUUUCUCAUUUUUCCUUCAAAAAUGAAUAAUUAUUUGACAUUUUGAUACAUGUCAAAUACAUAUUUAAGUAUUACUUUUUUCUAUGAGAUAUGCCACAAAAAUAUCACCUCGCGACUCUAUAGUUAAGUCAAUUUACACUUAAAAGUGAAAAAAAAAAAUUAAACGGUUCAACUUCAGGUCAACCCGUUUAUAAUUGGGUUGGGUUGGGUUGAAAAUUUCAACCCGUUUAAUUAAACAGGUCGGGUUGGGUUGGGAAAAUCUCAACCCGUUUAUAAAUGGGUCGACCUGAUUUCGACCCAACCCAACCCAUUGCCAAUGGGCGUAACAUUAAAGUUGUCGGUUCUUCUAUCCACUCUUGUUCUUCUUGCUUUAGGUUUGGGACAUAACAUUUGGGCAGGCUUCUUCAGCAGAAAUGCCAGUAUAAUCAAAGCAUUUGCUUCUAUGACUCCUCUACUUUGCAGUUCAAUAUUCUUGGACUCGAUUCAAGGCAUACUAUCAGGUUAUCACAUUCUAAUGUCAUUUACCAACGAGGUUUUUGACCUAGUCUUAACUGAUGAUCUAUGUACAAUAGGUCUCAUUUCGAAUCCCCCAGCCACCAUUUGUAAUUUAUAUUGCCUUUGUGGUUCAUUUGCACCGUGAAAAAAAAAACAUUCUAACGUUGUUUUCACCCUCGUUACUUGCUUCGCUAUUCAGUAUUCAUCCAUCCAAUUCUAUUGUGCUGAAUUAUUAUUAUUUUUGGCAUGAAACAGGGGUAUGCAGGGGAUGUGGUUGGCAGCACUUAGCUGUGUACAUAAAUUUGGGGACAUUCUAUGCCAUUGGAAUGCCCAUUGCAUACUUGGUUGCCUUUAAGCUUCAUCUGUAUGCCAAGGGUCUUUGGAUCGGCUUAAUCUGCGGCCUCGUCGUUCAAUCUGCUUCGCUUUUUCUGAUUACCCGACUGCAUAAAUGGAAAGCACUUGAGCUCUCUCCCAAUGGCAACGAAAAUUCAAUUCCGGUCUAAUUAGAGUAGCAAAGAACGUUGUGUACUACUAAUCAGUUACUCCGUAUUGCAAAAACAAAAAGAAGAUAGUUUAACUUAGUAACCAUCUGACAGUAAGGGUAGGUUAGUUGUUGAAGGUUAAGUUAGGGUACAGCCUUGAGAGAAAGCUACCAUAACUUUGUUGUAUCUUUCUAAAAAAAAAAAAUUGUUGAAGGUGGAUAAUCAUUUUGCUCCACUCUAUUGAAUUGCUUUUAACUUCAGUUUGCAGGACAUGUAGUUGAGGAAAAAUGGGCGAAUUUGAUUUUGUUUCUUUUU
Spinacia oleracea (spinach) is the source of this 3137-nucleotide RNA transcript. It is a transcript of the gene named protein DETOXIFICATION 18, with no coding region annotated. Lineage: Eukaryota; Viridiplantae; Streptophyta; Magnoliopsida; Caryophyllales; Amaranthaceae. The record is from RefSeq and is a predicted model, not a curated record. The transcript is spliced from 6 exons.